ACCAAGGAGUCUAACAUAUGUGCAAGUUACUGGGAUGUAAACCUAAUAGCGUAAUUAACUUGACUAAUAAUGGGAUUAGUUUUUUAGCUAUUUAUAGCUAAUUAACACAAUCCCGGGGCGUUCUAUAUAGUUAUGUAUAAUGUAUAUUUAUAUUAUUUAUGCCUCUAACUGGAACGUACCUUGAGCAUAUAUGCUGUGACCCGAAAGAUGGUGAACUAUACUUGAUCAGGUUGAAGUCAGGGGAAACCCUGAUGGAAGACCGAAACAGUUCUGACGUGCAAAUCGAUUGUCAGAAUUGAGUAUAGGGGCGAAAGACCAAUCGAACCAUCUAGUAGCUGGUUCCUUCCGAAGUUUCCCUCAGGAUAGCUGGUGCAUUUUAAUAUUAUAUAAAAUAAUCUUAUCUGGUAAAGCGAAUGAUUAGAGGCCUUAGGGUCGAAACGAUCUUAACCUAUUCUCAAACUUUAAAUGGGUAAGAACCUUAACUUUCUUGAUAUGAAGUUCAAGGUUAUGAUAUAAUGUGCCCAGUGGGCCACUUUUGGUAAGCAGAACUGGCGCUGUGGGAUGAACCAAACGUAAUGUUACGGUGCCCAAAUUAACAACUCAUGCAGAUACCAUGAAAGGCGUUGGUUGCUUAAAACAGCAGGACGGUGAUCAUGGAAGUCGAAAUCCGCUAAGGAGUGUGUAACAACUCACCUGCCGAAGCAACUAGCCCUUAAAAUGGAUGGCGCUUAAGUUGUAUACCUAUACAUUACCGCUAAAGUAGAUGAUUUAUAUUACUUGUGAUAUAAAUUUUGAAACUUUAGUGAGUAGGAAGGUACAAUGGUAUGCGUAGAAGUGUUUGGCGUAAGCUUGCAUGGAGCUGCCAUUGCUACAGAUCUUGGUGGUAGUAGCAAAUAAUCGAAUGA
RNAcentral lists this non-coding RNA (905 nucleotides) under Drosophila sechellia. RNAcentral's name for it is "Eukaryotic large subunit ribosomal RNA". It matches the Rfam family "Eukaryotic large subunit ribosomal RNA", at positions 665 to 1478 of the family's 3401-position model. Lineage: Eukaryota; Metazoa; Arthropoda; Insecta; Diptera; Drosophilidae. The record is from Rfam by way of RNAcentral.